Molecule: ribosomal RNA, 402 nt
Filed under: uncultured prokaryote
Description: bacterial SSU rRNA
Rfam family: Bacterial small subunit ribosomal RNA
Source: RNAcentral
UGGGGAAUAUUGCACAAUGGGCGAAAGCCUGAUGCAGCGACGCCGCGUGAGGGAAGAAGGUUUUCGGAUUGUAAACCUCUGUCUUCGGGGACGAUAAUGACGGUACCCGAGGAGGAAGCCACGGCUAACUACGUGCCAGCAGCCGCGGUAAAACGUAGGUGGCAAGCGUUGUCCGGAAUUACUGGGUGUAAAGGGAGCGCAGGCGGAAUGGCAAGUUGAAUGUGAAAACUGGGGGCUCAACCCCCAGACUGCGUUCAAAACUGCUGUUCUUGAGUGAUGUAGAGGUAGGCGGAAUUCCCGGUGUAGCGGUGGAAUGCGUAGAUAUCGGGAGGAACACCAGUGGCGAAGGCGGCCUACUGGGCAUCAACUGACGCUGAGGCUCGAAAGUAUGGGGAGCAAACA